RNAcentral lists this ribosomal RNA (1219 nucleotides) under metagenome. RNAcentral's name for it is "bacterial LSU rRNA". It matches the Rfam family "Bacterial large subunit ribosomal RNA", at positions 1583 to 2819 of the family's 2925-position model. The record is from RNAcentral.
GUAGUGAAGCUGCGGCCCCUUCCUGUCGAGAAAAGCCGCUAUCGUGUAGCAAGGGCCCGUACCGUAAACCGACACAGGUGGAUGAGGAGAGGAUCCUAAGGCCGGCGGGAGAAGUGUUGUUAAGGAACUCGGCAAAAUGACUCCGUAACUUCGGGAGAAGGAGUGCUGCGCAAGCAGCCGCAGAGAAAUGGCCCAAGCAACUGUUUAGCAAAAACACAGGUCUAUGCGAAACCGGAAGGUGAGGUAUAUGGGCUGACGCCUGCCCGGUGCUGGAAGGUUAAGGGGAGAGCUUAGCGCGAGCGAAGGUUUGAACUUAAGCCCCAGUAAACGGCGGCCGUAACGAUAACGGUCCUAAGGUAGCGAAAUUCCUUGUCGGGUAAGUUCCGACCCGCACGAAAGGCGUAAUGACUUGGGCACUGUCUCAACAACACACCCGGUGAAAUUGAAAUACCAGUGAAGAUGCUGGUUACCCGCGCCAGGACGGAAAGACCCCAUGGAGCUUUACUCCAGCCUGAUACUGGGAUUCGGUAUUGCAUGUACAGGAUAGGUGGGAGGCUAAGAACUCAUGGCGCCAGCCGUGAGGGAGCCGGUGCUGGGAUACCACCCCUGCAGUACUGGGUUUCUAACCUGCGCCCGUGACCCGGGCGGGGGACAAUGUCAGGCGGGGAGUUUGACUGGGGCGGUCGCCUCCGAAAGGGUAUCGGAGGCGCUCAAAGGUCUCCUCAGGAUGGUUGGAAACCAUCCAGAGAGUGCAAAGGCAGAAGGAGGCUUGACUGCGACACCGACGGGUGGAGCAGGUACGAAAGUAGGACUUAGUGAUCCGGUGGCAUAAAGUGGGAUUGCCAUCGCUCAACGGAUAAAGGCUACCCUGGGAUAACAGGCUUAUCACUCCCAAGAGUUCACAUCGACGGAGUGGUUUGGCACCUCGAUGUCGGCUCAUCGCAUCCUGGAGCUGGAGCAGGUUCCAAGGGUUGGGCUGUUCGCCCAUUAAAGCGGUACGCGAGCUGGGUUCAGAACGUCGUGAGACAGUUCGGUCCCUAUCCGGCGCGGGCGCAGGAUAUCUGAGAGGAGCUGUCCUUAGUACGAGAGGACCGGGAUGGACCGUCCGCUGGUGGACCGGUUGUCAUGCCAAUGGCACGGCCGGGUAGCCAAGACGGGAAGGGAUAAACGCUGAAGGCAGCUAAGCGUGAAGCCCCCCUCAAGAUGAGAUAUCCAUACG